AAAUUAUGCAAGAAUAGUAAAUCAUACAGUAAAUUAAUAUUUUAGUUUCUUAAAGAGUUUCUUAUGAAUAUUUUUUAAAGUUUCAUAUAUAUAUUAGGAUGAUAAGAAACUUGAAAAUAUACUCUACAGUAUAACUGUAAAUUAUCCAUCCAGAUCCAGAAAGACAAACUUAAGAAAAUAGUCCUUUUAAUUAGUUCACCAUAAAUGGAAAUUGUAUACACACAGAAAUGUAUACAGUAGUACCGGUACAGCAUAACCCUGUUGAAUGACAAUGCAUUUUAAUUUAGCCCUGAAAGCUGGGUUUAGCUGUUGGUCCCCCUGAAAUAUCUAGAGUGGCUGUGUUUUCUUUGCAACAGGAAUGUCCAGCUCUCCCAGUCUAACAGCUGCCAGAAGAAUCUGUACUCUUGUCACUUUCAUAUAUGGACAAGUCAGCAUGGCAACCUGUGACGUCACUGCUGCUAAAAACAGCCCUAACACCCAGCAGACUCCCGGCCAUUAAACAAUGUGAUCUUUGUGGAGAUACUCCUGAGUACACUCUACCUCAAUCUGGACUCCAAAUUAUUAGCAGGAAAGAAACUUACCGGAAAGCGUUUUGUCAAAACUUCUUUUUCCCAAGCUCUGCGUGGUUUUAAACUGUGCAAUGAGUACCUCUCUGGAGUACUUGUAUUCCAAAGAGCAGCAAACCAUGGAUAAUCUAGAGAAGCAACUGAUUUGCCCUAUCUGUUUGGAAAUGUUUAGCAAACCAGUGGUCAUUCUUCCUUGUCAGCACAACCUUUGUCGAAAAUGUGCCAAUGAUAUUUUCCAGGCCUCUAAUCCUUACCUACCAACCAGAGGAGGCAACACAGUGGCUGCAGGCGGUCGAUUCCGAUGCCCUUCUUGCAGGCAUGAAGUGGUCUUGGACAGACAUGGGGUUUACGGGCUGCAGAGAAACCUUCUGGUGGAGAAUAUCAUUGAUUUGUAUAAACAGGAGUCUACCAGUAAGUCGGGCCCUGAGAGGAAACGUGACCAGCCCAUGUGUGAAGAGCACGAAGAUGAGAAAAUCAACAUCUACUGUGUGACGUGUGAAACACCCACCUGCUCCUUAUGUAAAGUCUUCGGAGCUCAUAAAGACUGCGAGGUGGCUCCCCUGGAUAAGGUUUUCCAAAGGCAAAAGUCUGAACUCAGUGAUGGGAUAGCAAUGCUGGUUGGCAACAAUGACAGAAUUCAGGGAAUAAUCAGUCAACUGGAAGAGUCUUGCAGAACUAUUGAGGAAAACUGCAGGAGACAGAAGUCCCAGGUGUGUGAAAAGUUUGAUUUCUUGUAUGCAACCCUGGAAGAAAGGAAAGGAGAGAUGACUCAGAAAAUCACAAGUGAACAGGAGGAGAAGCUCCAGUACGUCCGGACUCUGAAAAAGAAAUAUGGUGAUCAUCUGGAGGCAGUAUCCAAGAUAGUGGAGUCUGGAAUUCAGUCGAUGGAUGAGCCCGAAAUGGCUCUUUUUCUGCAGAAUGCUAAACCGCUCGUAAAAAAAAUUACUGAAGCCUCUGACAUAUCAAAUUUGGAAAAGGUGGAACGUGGCUAUGAAAAUAUGGAUCACUUCAAAGUCAAUUUUGAGAGAGAAGGAAGGGGACUGCGGAGUAUAGAUUUUAUCAGAGAGGAGGAGGAAGAGGAGGCCGAGGAAGGAGAAGAGGAGGAAAGAGAGGGAGAUGAGGAGGUCCACACAGAGCCCGAGUCUGACGUGGAGGAGGGAGCCACAGAGACACCGGUGAAACAGCCAGAGCAGACAGCAGUGAAGAGUGAGCCGGCUGCCGAAGCUGCUUGCCCUCCCACUGGGGAAACUCCACCCCAGCUAGCCAAUAUGCCUGUGCAGGGGGCAGUUGAGCAGAGUGGGUCUCUUGGCACUGCGGAGACAGGAGUGCUUUCAACAGAAGCCAAUGCAAAUCCUUUGUUGUACCCUAGUUGGUACAAACCCCAAACAGGGCUUGCAAACAGUCCUACUCUGGCCCAAUCGAGUGAUGGCAUUGGUCAGUUGGGAGCUUCAGUGUCACCUGGAGGGGAUACGCAGAAGGCAGCAGCAGUAAAAGAGAGCCCAGCUGUGGACAGUAAGGAAUCUAGGUCGUCUGCAGCUUCGUCCCAGCCGGCAGCUCCCUUCUCUUGGCCUCCCCAGGCGACGGAGAGCAGGUCUUCCCAGGCGACGGUGAGCAGGUCUCCCCAGGCGAUGGCGAUCAGGCCUCUCCAGGCGACGGCAAGCAGGCCUCCUCAGGCGAUGGCGAGCAGGCCUCCCCAGGCGAUGAUAAACAGGCCUCCCCAGGCGAUGCGUUGCAGGCAGCCCGGGCAGUGCAGGCUUAAGCAGCUGCAGCUCCUCUCCCUCUGGUGGUGGAGGUGGGAGCAACAUGUAGUCUCCCUCUAUCACUGGGGACUGAUGCGGCUGUCCUGCCUGUGGAUCUGGAGUAGGCGUGGCUCCUCCCGAUGAGACUGGAGGCAGUGGGGACAGUCCCAUAUCGACAACCAGCACUAGCCAUCGACUCUCAACUGAAGCUACAACCUCACUGUAAACUACAAGCUCGCUGUUGCUGGUUUCUGCCACUAGAGGUUGGUUCUGAUAACGUAGCAAGUGGACAAAAUGAAAAUCAACAAAACACUGAAGAUAAAGGCGGCCAGGGACCUCGUCAUGUU
Acipenser ruthenus (sterlet) is the source of this 2652-nucleotide RNA transcript. It is a transcript of the gene named tripartite motif-containing protein 54-like, with no coding region annotated. The record is from RefSeq and is a predicted model, not a curated record. Lineage: Eukaryota; Metazoa; Chordata; Actinopteri; Acipenseriformes; Acipenseridae. The transcript has 12 exons.